GACGAACGCUGGCGGCGUGCUUAACACAUGCAAGUCGAGCGGUAAGGCCCUUUCGGGGGGUACACGAGCGGCGAACGGGUGAGUAACACGUGGGUGACCUGCCCUCAGCUCUGGGAUAAGCCUGGGAAACUGGGUCUAAUACUGGAUAUGACUCCACGGUGCAUGUCGUGGGGUGGAAAGCCUUGUGCGGCUGAGGAUGGGCCCGCGGCCUAUCAGCUUGUUGGUGGGGUGAUGGCCUACCAAGGCGACGACGGGUAGCCGGCCUGAGAGGGCGACCGGGCCACACUGGGACUGAGACACGGCCCUGACUCCUACGGGAGGCACCAGUGGGGAAUCUUGCGCAAUGGGCGAAAGCCUGACGCAGUGACGCCGCGUGAGGGAUGACGGCC
RNAcentral lists this ribosomal RNA (389 nucleotides) under uncultured bacterium. RNAcentral's name for it is "bacterial SSU rRNA". It matches the Rfam family "Bacterial small subunit ribosomal RNA", at positions 28 to 416 of the family's 1533-position model. The record is from RNAcentral.